GAUAGAAAAUAGGUGCCCGUACCGCAAACCGACACAGGUAGUCAAGAUGAGAAUUCUAAGGUGAGCGAGCGAACUCUCGUUAAGGAACUCGGCAAAAUGACCCCGUAACUUCGGGAGAAGGGGUGCUCUUUAGGGUUAACGCCCAGAAGAGCCGCAGUGAAUAGGCCCAAGCGACUGUUUAUCAAAAACACAGGUCUCUGCUAAACCGUAAGGUGAUGUAUAGGGGCUGACGCCUGCCCGGUGCUGGAAGGUUAAGAGGAGUGGUUAGCUUCUGCGAAGCUACGAAUCGAAGCCCCAGUAAACGGCGGCCGUAACUAUAACGGUCCUAAGGUAGCGAAAUUCCUUGUCGGGUAAGUUCCGACCCGCACGAAAGGCGUAACGAUUUGGGCACUGUCUCAACGAGAGACUCGGUGAAAUCAUAGUACCUGUGAAGAUGCAGGUUACCCGCGACAGGACGGAAAGACCCCGUGGAGCUUUACUGUAGCCUGAUAUUGAAAUUCGGCACAGCUUGUACAGGAUAGGUAGGAGCCUUUGAAACGUGAGCGCUAGCUUACGUGGAGGCGCUGGUGGG
Molecule: ribosomal RNA, 571 nt
Filed under: Staphylococcus aureus
Lineage: Bacteria; Bacillati; Bacillota; Bacilli; Caryophanales; Staphylococcaceae
Description: partial 23S ribosomal RNA
Rfam family: Bacterial large subunit ribosomal RNA
Source: RNAcentral